Molecule: ribosomal RNA, 253 nt
Filed under: uncultured bacterium
Lineage: Bacteria
Description: partial 16S ribosomal RNA
Rfam family: Bacterial small subunit ribosomal RNA
Source: RNAcentral
UACAGAGGUGGCAAGCGUUGUUCGGAAUUACUGGGCGUAAAGGGCGCGUAGGCGGCCUUCUAAGUCAGACGUGAAAUCCCUCGGCUCAACCGGGGAACUGCGUCUGAGACUGGAAGGCUUGAAUCCGGGAGAGGGAUGUGGAAUUCCAGGUGUAGCGGUGAAAUGCGUAGAUAUCUGGAGGAACACCGGUGGCGAAGGCGGCAUCCUGGACCGGUAUUGACGCUGAGGCGCGAAAGCCAGGGGAGCAAACGGG